This 263-nucleotide ribosomal RNA is filed under the name uncultured bacterium. Its description in RNAcentral is "partial 16S ribosomal RNA". It matches the Rfam family "Bacterial small subunit ribosomal RNA", at positions 793 to 1055 of the family's 1533-position model. The record is from RNAcentral.
GUCCUUGCCGUAAACGAUGUAUACUUGAUGUAGCUAGGCUCAACCCUGGCUGUGUCGGAGCUAACGCGAUAAGUAUACCGCCUGAGGAGUACGCUCGCAAGGGUGAAACUCAAAAGAAUUGACGGGGGCCCGCACAAGCAGUGGAGCAUGUGGUUUAAUUCGAUGCAACGCGAAGAACCUUACCUGGGCUCGAAAUGCAGAGGGCGACUACAGAAAUGUAGUUUUCCGUAAGGACUUCUGUAUAGGUGCUGCAUGGCUGUCGU